Molecule: ribosomal RNA, 484 nt
Filed under: uncultured bacterium
Lineage: Bacteria
Description: partial 16S ribosomal RNA
Rfam family: Bacterial small subunit ribosomal RNA
Source: RNAcentral
AUUGAACGCUGGCGGCAGGCCUAACACAUGCAAGUCGAGCGGAUGAAGGGAGCUUGCUCCUGGAUUCAGCGGCGGACGGGUGAGUAAUGCCUAGGAAUCUGCCUGGUAGUGGGGGAUAACGUCCGGAAACGGGCGCUAAUACCGCAUACGUCCUGAGGGAGAAAGUGGGGGAUCUUCGGACCUCACGCUACCAGAUGAGCCUAGGUCGGAUUAGCUAGUUGGUGGGGUAAAGGCCUACCAAGGCGACGAUCCGUAACUGGUCUGAGAGGAUGAUCAGUCACACUGGAACUGGGACACGGUCCAGACUCCUACGGGAGGCAGCAGUGGGGAAUAUUGGACAAUGGGCGAAAGCCUGAUCCAGCCAUGCCGCGUGUGUGAAGAAGGUCUUCGGAUUGUAAAGCACUUUAAGUUGGGAGGAAGGGCAGUAAGUUAAUACCUUGCUGUUUUGACGUUACCAACAGAAUAAGCACCGGCUAACUUCGUG